ACUAAUCUUCCUAUGGGAGAACCAUCUAAACCAAACCAUUGCCCAAUCACUUGGUCAAUGUUAAGAUGAUAUUAUUAUAAAAUCAACAUAAUAACAAUAAUUCAGGACUAAUCAUUAUUAAUGCGGAAGUCAAACAAACUACUUACUAAAAAUUUCAAGACCCAAAAGUCAUCGUACAAGAACUACUAACAAAGAUCAUGUCUAAAGUGAUAUCCAAAAAUAAAGUAAAUAAAGAAUGUUUCAUUGCCCGAAAGAUGGACAAUAAUAACUAAGAUGACCCGUGGCAACCUGAAGACGGAAUACUCACCCUUCUGAUCAAGAUCUUCUAUCAACUCUAAAGGUGAGGUCGUGUCUAAGCCUCUGGAAAACGUUCUGCACUCAACAAAAGAAGAGUACAUGGUAGUAUCAGUACAAACCACUAUGUGCUGGUAGGCAUCAUAGGCCAACUCAACUUAAUAGGAUGUACACAACAUAAUUAAAAAAAUAAGUAGACAGGCAUCAUCAAAUAACAAAUUCUCAUUGAAUCAACAAUACAACAAUAACAGGUCAACAAUGCUCACAAACAAGCCACAUAACUAUCAAGAGUAUCAACCAUAAGGUAAACAUCCACAAAAUCAACAUAAGUAUGUAUACACAUGCUAUGGGACUUAUUUUUGCCCAAAUAGUCAUGACCUGCAGGGAGCAAUCUAUGUUCAUGUACUGUACCGGGGUGGCACCCGAUCCAACAUAAAUAUAAACGUACAAGCGUGGUACCCGAUCCAACAUAAAUAAAAUCGUACCGGCGUGGUACCCGAUCCAACAUAAAUAUAAAUGUACCGGAGUGGUACCCAUUUCAACAUGAAUAUAAACGUACCGGCGUGGUACCCGAUCCAACAUAAAUAUAAACAUACCGGCGUAGUACCUGAUCCAACAUAAAUAUAAACAAGUAUUAUCAAUAUCAAUUUACACAACCUCACAACACACAACACACAACACAAUGUAUCAUGUUUACAAGUACACUUAAAGUCAUAAGACAAUUCCAUCAAGUCAAUUUUCAAUAAGCAUUUAUAUAGGAAUCAACAAUCCAAACAUCAACGAUUUCAAGCAUGUCGGAAUACCAAUCCAAAAGUAUUCAAUUUAGGAGCAUACACACAAUUAAGUCGAGUCUAAACACCAAUUAAAACGUAGCCUACCUUAACCGAAGAAUACAAAUAUCAUCAGUUCACAAGUGCCUUGCGCUUCCUCAAAUUUUCAAAACGUUAAAAAUCUGUUUAAGUAUAUAAUUGUCAUAAGGGUAUGAAUCUAGUAAUACCCAUUCAAUAAAUUCUCACGCUAAAAAUUCUAAACUCAAAACCAAAAUUUACCAAAACCUUAACUCAUUAAAUUCAGUAACCAAGGUAAGCACGGCAAAAACUAGUACUGCAGUACUUUAAUGUGCAGGAAACUAUUAGCCCACUUUCCUAUCGUAAUUAUUACUCAUUAUUGAGUAAUGAUUGCUAAUCAUUACAUAAUGAUUAACCAUUAUCACUAAUAUAUGAAAUAUAAAACGAUACAAAUUAAUUAUUUUUUUUUCUUGAAUUUCCAUCGCCCAAUAACUAAACCUAUCAUUAUUCAAUAAUAAUAGAUGUUCACUAUGAAAUCAUGAUAGUGGCAGAUUAGUACCAUAUUAAUUCAUCCAAUUUCUAAAGUUGAAUUCUCACCUGAAACAUUGACUCACGCCACACAAUUCCUUUCUCCUGUAGCAUCUGUUUUAUUUUUCGUUAUUGUUCAAAAGGGUUAAACCCUAUUAACUAAAAGUCACAUAAUAUUUGAUAGUAAAAA
This 1800-nucleotide long non-coding RNA is filed under the name Capsicum annuum. Its description in RNAcentral is "long non-coding RNA (CANN_LNC008862)". The record is from RNAcentral. Lineage: Eukaryota; Viridiplantae; Streptophyta; Magnoliopsida; Solanales; Solanaceae.